AUACACACAUAUAUAUGCUUAAAAAAAAAAAAAACAACUGUGAGAUGAUUUUAUCAUUAUUUAAAUUUUUAAAAGCUACAAGCAAUGAAAUGUGAUUUUACAGAUUCUUUGUUUUUAGUAAUUUAUUUUUUUAUAAUAUUAUAUGGUUAAAAAUAACCUACAUGUAGAUGAGAAUAAAAAAAAAAAAACAAAAGGAAGUCUAAGUAGUAACAUUAGCGCAUUAGUAACCGUAGUAGCAGUUCCAAAUUUGAAAAGUACCCAAAUAGUUGCCAAAAACAGACGCAAAGAAUCUGUGAUAGAAAAAAAAAAAAAAAAAUAUAUAUAUAUAUAUACAUACAUACAUACAUACAUACACACAUACAUACAUACAUACACACAUACAUACACACAUACAUACACACAUACAUACAUACAUACAUACAUACACACAUACAUACAUACAUACAUACAUACACAUGUAUCAUUUUUUCCAAAAUAUGAAAUAAUGGAAAAGCCGGAAUAUAACAUCGCAUUAAACAAAAAGAAAGCAAAUGCGACCAAUGAAGUGAUGGCAGUAGAGGAUGCGGAUGACAGUACAUAUUAUAAUUACACACAUAUGAUGUCUUGCAAUAAUUUAAUGAUAGAUGAUAUAUUAGACUACCGUUUGAUAGAAAAAGCAAAAUAUAAUUAUUUGAAUUCAAAAACAUGCGUGAUAAAAGAAAAGAACUCGAAUGAUAAGAAAAACAAAGAGAGCAAAAAAAAAUAUUCCAAUAAGGACAAAUUAAAAGAUAAUAAUAAAGAGUAUAAUAAAACGUCUACAACUGAAUUUAACUUAAAUAAUUAUUUUUUAGUACCAGAUGAGAUAAGACAUAAAUAUACCAAAACAUAUUUAUUUCAGAUUUCUAAAAGAUUACUUGUUAUGAAAAAACCUUGGAGGUUACCUAAAAAUGUCGAAUUAAAAAUUAAUAAUAUAUGUCAUUUAAGUAAUUAUAUAAAAGUGUUAGAAAGGAUAUCAAGUGAAUAUUUAAAUGAUCAACCAAUAAAUUAUUAUUAUAAAGGCUUAGAUGCAUAUAACAAAAACGUGUUUGCAAAUAUUGAUUACCUAUUAAAAAAAGUAGAUAUAAAAAAAUACCCAAAAAAAAGUUCCAGAAAAAAUUUAAUAAAAAUUAAUGAAUACUAUUAUGAUUUAAGUACCUUUGGUAAAUCUCCUAAAUCCAUUUUUUAUCAAACAUAUGCUAUUUGGGAUAUACAUGGAAAUAAUUUGACAUUAGAAGAUGAAUAUGAAAGCUUUUUUGACGGACAAAUAAUAGAUUAUGGUUAUGGUGAAAAAGAAUAUCCUAAUUUAAAAUAUCUUUUAAAUAUAUGUAGUUCGAUAUUAUUUUGGUUAAAUUUUAAUAAAAAAGAAAAUUUUGCUAUUUUAAAUUAUCAUAAACCUAGCUCUUUUAUUUUGCUAAUUUUUGCUUGUGUUAUGCUAGCCAUCGAUAACAGUUUAACAUUUGACCAAAUACAAGAAAUCAUGUUCAAGUCAUCCAAAAUUAAUAAUAAUAGUGAUAAUGAAAAAGAAUAUAAUUCAUCCCACAAUAUGGUUAAUAAACAAAUAUCAACUAACUACUUUAAAAACAAGGCAACUAAUGAUGACAAUAAUGGUACUUAUAGUUAUUUUAAUGA
Molecule: long non-coding RNA, 1647 nt
Filed under: Piliocolobus tephrosceles (Ugandan red Colobus)
Lineage: Eukaryota; Metazoa; Chordata; Mammalia; Primates; Cercopithecidae
Description: lncRNA (ENSPTEG00000006318.1)
Source: RNAcentral